Molecule: long non-coding RNA, 750 nt
Organism: Pipistrellus kuhlii (Kuhl's pipistrelle)
Lineage: Eukaryota; Metazoa; Chordata; Mammalia; Chiroptera; Vespertilionidae
Exons: 3
Source: RefSeq, a predicted model, not a curated record
CCUUUUGGCUAUUAUGAAUAAUGCUGCUGUGAGCAUGCGCAUACAAGUUUUUGUGUAGACAUAUGUUUUCAUUUCUGUUAGGUAUACACCUCAGAGUGGAAUCGCUGAGUCACACGGUAACUUUAGUCUUAUGUGAAAAUGCCCAACUGUCUUCCUAGUAGCUGCAGUAUGUAAAAAAUCCUACCAACAAUGUAUGAGUUCCCAUGUGUCCACAUCUUUGCCCACACUUAUUAUUGUCUUUGAUUUUAGCCAUUUUAGUGGCUGUGAAGUGGCGGGUAUCUUUAUUGUGCCUUUGUUUGUGGUUCAUGUCAAGUACUGGCCACCCAUCCCAACAGGGUGGGGGCUCUGUGAGUUAUGGCAUCUCAGAAACCUACAGCUGAUUAUUUUUUUAACUCCUAAUGUGGAAGGACUGUGCAAAGAAGGAGGUCGUUCAGACACCUAGAAAGGUAGUAAUAGCCAGACCUUCCCUUGUGCAGGUCUGGAGGCUGUCGCCAUCGGAGAGGUUCAUGAGAACACGACUCUGCCCUGCGGCAACAUCUCGGCAACCAGCGGCCCGGUGACCUGGUACCGGAAUGACUCGGAGCCCGUCUUCCUCCUGUCCUCCAAUGCCAGCCGCCCGCCAGCCCAGCCCCGCUUCUCCCUGGUGAACGCCAGCUCCCUGCGCAUCGAGGCGCUGAGCCUGCAGGACGAGGGCAACUACGCCUGCUGGGAGGCCCUGAAGGAGACUCGGCGAGACAGAGACCCAGACCC